GACGAACGCUGGCGGCGUGCUUAACACAUGCAAGUCGAACGGUGACGAGGAGCUUGCUCCUCUGAUCAGUGGCGAACGGGUGAGUAACACGUGAGCAACCUGCCCCAGACUCUGGGAUAACAGUUGGAAACAGCUGCUAAUACCGGAUACGAGACGGAGAGGCAUCUCUACCGUCUGGAAAGUUUUCGGUCUGGGAUGGACUCGCGGCCUAUCAGCUAGUUGGUGAGGUAAUGGCUCACCAAGGCGACGACGGGUAGCCGGCCUGAGAGGGCGACCGGCCACACUGGGACUGAGACACGGCCCAGACUCCUACGGGAGGCAGCAGUGGGGAAUUUUGGGCAAUGGGGGAGACCCUGACCCAGCGACGCCGCGUGAGGGAAGACGGCCUUCGGGUUGUAAACCUCUUUUGUACGGGAAGAUAAUGACGGUACUGUACGAAUAAGUCCCCGGCUAACUACCGUG
Molecule: ribosomal RNA, 462 nt
Filed under: uncultured bacterium
Lineage: Bacteria
Description: bacterial SSU rRNA
Rfam family: Bacterial small subunit ribosomal RNA
Source: RNAcentral